Molecule: ribosomal RNA, 254 nt
Filed under: uncultured bacterium
Lineage: Bacteria
Description: partial 16S ribosomal RNA
Rfam family: Bacterial small subunit ribosomal RNA
Source: RNAcentral
UACAGAGGGUGCAAGCGUUGUUCGGAGUCAUUGGGCGUAAAGGGCGUGUAGGCGGUUUGUUAAGUCAUGUGUGAAAUCCCUCGGCUCAACCGGGGAACGACGCUUGAAACUGGCAAGCUAGAGUACCAAAGAGGGCGGUGGAAUUCCCGGUGUAGCGGUGAAAUGCGUAGAGAUGCGGAGGAACACCGAUGGCGAAGGCGGGUUGCUGGGCUGACACUGACGCUGAUUGUGCGAAAGCUAGGGGAGCGAACGGG